This 253-nucleotide ribosomal RNA is filed under the name uncultured bacterium. RNAcentral's name for it is "partial 16S ribosomal RNA". It matches the Rfam family "Bacterial small subunit ribosomal RNA", at positions 524 to 776 of the family's 1533-position model. The record is from RNAcentral.
UACAGAGGGUGCAAGCGUUAAUCGGAAUUACUGGGCGUAAAGCGCACGUAGGCGGUUUUUUAAGUCAGAUGUGAAAGCCCCGGGCUCAACCUGGGAAUUGCAUUUGAAACUGGGGAACUAGAGUGUGUGAGAGGGGGGUAGAAUUCCAAGUGUAGCGGUGAAAUGCGUAGAGAUUUGGAGGAAUACCAGUGGCGAAGGCGGCCCCCUGGCACAAUACUGACGCUGAGGUGCGAAAGCGUGGGGAGCAAACAGG